AGCAGCCGCGGUAAUUCCAGCUCCAAUAGCGUAUAUUAAAGUUGUUGCAGUUAAAAAGCUCGUAGUUGAAUUUCGGGGUUAGUAGGUUGGUCGUGCCACCGGUAUGUACUGGCUCUACUGAUCCCUCCUUCUUGUAGAACCGUAAUGCCAUUAACUUGGUGUUGCGGGGAAACAGGACUGUUACUUUGAAAAAUUAGAGUGUUUAAAGCAGGCUAACGCUUGAAUACAUUAGCAUGGAAUAAUGAAAUAGGACGCUCGAUCCUAUUUUGUUGGUUUCUAGGAUUGACGUAAUGAUUAAUAGGGAUAGUUGGGGGCAUUAGUAUUCAAUUGUCAGAGGUGAAAUUCUUGGAUUUAUUGAAGACUAACUACUGCGAAAGCAUUUGCCAAGGAUGUUUUCAUUAAUCAAGAACGGAAGUUAGGGGAUCGAAGACGAUCAGAUACCGUCGUAGUCUUAACCAUAAACUAUGCCGACUAGGGAUCGGAUGAUGUUAAUUUUUUAAUGUACUCAUUCGGCGCCUUA
This 520-nucleotide ribosomal RNA is filed under the name uncultured Glomus. RNAcentral describes it as "SSU rRNA". It matches the Rfam family "Eukaryotic small subunit ribosomal RNA", at positions 569 to 1090 of the family's 1831-position model. Lineage: Eukaryota; Fungi; Glomeromycota; Glomeromycetes; Glomerales; Glomeraceae. The record is from RNAcentral.